CUAGCGUUGCUCGGAAUUACUGGGCGUAAAGCGUGCGCAGGCGGCUUUGCAAGACAGAUGUGAAAUCCCCGGGCUUAACCUGGGAACUGCAUUUGUGACUGCAUGGCUGGAGUGCGGCAGAGGGGGAUGGAAUUCCGCGUGUAGCAGUGAAAUGCGUAGAUAUGCGGAGGAACACCGAUGGCGAAAGCAAUCCCCUGGGCCUGCACUGACGCUCAUGCACGAAAGCGUGGGGAGCAAACAGG
This 242-nucleotide ribosomal RNA is filed under the name uncultured bacterium. Its description in RNAcentral is "partial 16S ribosomal RNA". It matches the Rfam family "Bacterial small subunit ribosomal RNA", at positions 535 to 776 of the family's 1533-position model. The record is from RNAcentral.